Molecule: ribosomal RNA, 2918 nt
Filed under: Klebsiella pneumoniae
Lineage: Bacteria; Pseudomonadati; Pseudomonadota; Gammaproteobacteria; Enterobacterales; Enterobacteriaceae
Description: 23S ribosomal RNA
Rfam family: Bacterial large subunit ribosomal RNA
Source: RNAcentral
GGGUUGUGAGGUUAAGCGACUAAGCGUACACGGUGGAUGCCCUGGCAGUCAGAGGCGAUGAAGGACGUGCUAAUCUGCGAAAAGCGUCGGUAAGGUGAUAUGAACCGUUAUAACCGGCGAUGUCCGAAUGGGGAAACCCAGUGUGAUUCGUCACACUAUCGUUAACUGAAUACAUAGGUUAACGAGGCGAACCGGGGGAACUGAAACAUCUAAGUACCCCGAGGAAAAGAAAUCAACCGAGAUUCCCCCAGUAGCGGCGAGCGAACGGGGAGCAGCCCAGAGUCUGAAUCAGCUUGUGUGUUAGUGGAACGGUCUGGAAAGUCCGACGGUACAGGGUGAUAGUCCCGUACACCAAAAUGCACAGGCUGUGAACUCGAAGAGUAGGGCGGGACACGUGGUAUCCUGUCUGAAUAUGGGGGACCAUCCUCCAAGGCUAAAUACUCCUGACUGACCGAUAGUGAACCAGUACCGUGAGGGAAAGGCGAAAAGAACCCCGGCGAGGGGAGUGAAAAAGAACCUGAAACCGUGUACGUACAAGCAGUGGGAGCACCUUCGGGUGUGACUGCGUACCUUUUGUAUAAUGGGUCAGCGACUUAUAUUCUGUAGCAAGGUUAACCGUAUAGGGGAGCCGCAGGGAAACCGAGUCUUAACUGGGCGUUAAGUUGCAGGGUAUAGACCCGAAACCCGGUGAUCUAGCCAUGGGCAGGUUGAAGGUUGGGUAACACUAACUGGAGGACCGAACCGACUAAUGUUGAAAAAUUAGCGGAUGACUUGUGGCUGGGGGUGAAAGGCCAAUCAAACCGGGAGAUAGCUGGUUCUCCCCGAAAGCUAUUUAGGUAGCGCCUCGUGAACUCAUCUUCGGGGUAGAGCACUGUUUCGGCUAGGGGGUCAUCCCGACUUACCAACCCGAUGCAAACUACGAAUACCGAAGAAUGUUAUCACGGGAGACACACGGCGGGUGCUAACGUCCGUCGUGAAGAGGGAAACAACCCAGACCGCCAGCUAAGGUCCCAAAGUCAUGGUUAAGUGGGAAACGAUGUGGGAAGGCACAGACAGCCAGGAUGUUGGCUUAGAAGCAGCCAUCAUUUAAAGAAAGCGUAAUAGCUCACUGGUCGAGUCGGCCUGCGCGGAAGAUGUAACGGGGCUAAACCAUGCACCGAAGCUGCGGCAGCGACACUAUGUGUUGUUGGGUAGGGGAGCGUUCUGUAAGCCUGCGAAGGUGACCUGUGAGGGUUGCUGGAGGUAUCAGAAGUGCGAAUGCUGACAUAAGUAACGAUAAAGCGGGUGAAAAGCCCGCUCGCCGGAAGACCAAGGGUUCCUGUCCAACGUUAAUCGGGGCAGGGUGAGUCGACCCCUAAGGCGAGGCCGAAAGGCGUAGUCGAUGGGAAACAGGUUAAUAUUCCUGUACUUGGUGUUACUGCGAAGGGGGACGGAGAAGGCUAUGUUAGCCGGGCGACGGUUGUCCCGGUUUAAGCAUGUAGGCUGGUUAUCCAGGCAAAUCCGGAUAAUCAAGGCUGAGGUGUGAUGACGAGGCACUACGGUGCUGAAGUAACAAAUGCCCUGCUUCCAGGAAAAGCCUCUAAGCAUCAGGUAACAUCAAAUCGUACCCCAAACCGACACAGGUGGUCAGGUAGAGAAUACCAAGGCGCUUGAGAGAACUCGGGUGAAGGAACUAGGCAAAAUGGUGCCGUAACUUCGGGAGAAGGCACGCUGGUGUGUAGGUGAAGCCCCUGCGGGUGGAGCUGAGACCAGUCGAAGAUACCAGCUGGCUGCAACUGUUUAUUAAAAACACAGCACUGUGCAAACACGAAAGUGGACGUAUACGGUGUGACGCCUGCCCGGUGCCGGAAGGUUAAUUGAUGGGGUUAUCCGUAAGGAGAAGCUCUUGAUCGAAGCCCCGGUAAACGGCGGCCGUAACUAUAACGGUCCUAAGGUAGCGAAAUUCCUUGUCGGGUAAGUUCCGACCUGCACGAAUGGCGUAAUGAUGGCCAGGCUGUCUCCACCCGAGACUCAGUGAAAUUGAACUCGCUGUGAAGAUGCAGUGUACCCGCGGCAAGACGGAAAGACCCCGUGAACCUUUACUAUAGCUUGACACUGAACAUUGAGCCUUGAUGUGUAGGAUAGGUGGGAGGCUUUGAAGCGUGGACGCCAGUCUGCGUGGAGCCAACCUUGAAAUACCACCCUUUAAUGUUUGAUGUUCUAACGUUGGCCCCUUACCGGGGUUGCGGACAGUGUCUGGUGGGUAGUUUGACUGGGGCGGUCUCCUCCCAAAGCGUAACGGAGGAGCACGAAGGUUAGCUAAUCCUGGUCGGACAUCAGGAGGUUAGUGCAAUGGCAUAAGCUAGCUUGACUGCGAGCGUGACGGCGCGAGCAGGUGCGAAAGCAGGUCAUAGUGAUCCGGUGGUUCUGAAUGGAAGGGCCAUCGCUCAACGGAUAAAAGGUACUCCGGGGAUAACAGGCUGAUACCGCCCAAGAGUUCAUAUCGACGGCGGUGUUUGGCACCUCGAUGUCGGCUCAUCACAUCCUGGGGCUGAAGUAGGUCCCAAGGGUAUGGCUGUUCGCCAUUUAAAGUGGUACGCGAGCUGGGUUUAGAACGUCGUGAGACAGUUCGGUCCCUAUCUGCCGUGGGCGCUGGAGAAUUGAGGGGGCUGCUCCUAGUACGAGAGGACCGGAGUGGACGCAUCACUGGUGUUCGGGUUGUCAUGCCAAUGGCACUGCCCGGUAGCUAAAUGCGGAAGAGAUAAGUGCUGAAAGCAUCUAAGCACGAAACUUGCCCGAGAUGAGUUCUCCCUGAGACUUUAAGUCUCCUGAAGGAACGUUGAAGACGACGACGUUGAUAGGCCGGGUGUGUAAGCGCAGCGAUGCGUUGAGCUAACCGGUACUAAUGAACCGUGAGGCUUAACCUUACAACGCCGAAG